RNAcentral lists this long non-coding RNA (320 nucleotides) under Hordeum vulgare. RNAcentral's name for it is "long non-coding RNA (HVUL_LNC005027)". The record is from RNAcentral. Lineage: Eukaryota; Viridiplantae; Streptophyta; Magnoliopsida; Poales; Poaceae.
GGGGUGAUAGAAGCACUAGCUAUCCAUGUUUGGUCACAUCUUUUGAGCUUAAGUGGGUCUAAGUUGAUCUUGUAGUUUCUUUUGCUAGCAUGGAUUUAGUGGGGUGGAUGCCUCCCCCUCACCACAUGUUUUGAUGUGAUGUGAUGUUCUAGGUGACUAUCUAUGUUAGCAUGUGUAGGUGUGGAUUCCUAGUUAAGCUAGGGUAGAUUGUUGUGGGGGUUGCAUUUUGAGGAUGACAUGAUUCCUAGGAAGAUCCUAGUAAUGCAUGUGAGUGUGUGUGCCAUCACAUGCCCAUAUGUGGGGGGUGCAUACUCUCUUGU